Molecule: non-coding RNA, 107 nt
Organism: Gossypium hirsutum (cotton)
Lineage: Eukaryota; Viridiplantae; Streptophyta; Magnoliopsida; Malvales; Malvaceae
Source: Rfam
AACUCAUGAUGGGGGCACCUUCUCAAAAGACCCUUAAAUUUCUCCUAUGCAUCAUAUAAUGUAUCCAAAUAAAUUUGAUCAAAAAAAGAGAUGUCAUUCCUUAACUU